UACGUAGGGGGCAGGCGUUGUCCGGAAUCAUUGGGCGUAAAGAGCGUGUAGGCGGCCAGAUAAGUCCGCUGUGAAAUCUCGAGGCUCAACUUCGAGCUGUCGGUGGAAACUGUCUGGCUAGAGUCCGGAAGAGGAGAAUGGAAUUCCUGGUGUAGCGGUGAAAUGCGCAGAUAUCAGGAGGAACACCGGUGGCGAAGGCGGGUCUCUGGGCAGUAACUGACGCUGAGGAGCGAAAGCGUGGGGAGCGAACAGG
RNAcentral lists this ribosomal RNA (253 nucleotides) under uncultured bacterium. Its description in RNAcentral is "partial 16S ribosomal RNA". It matches the Rfam family "Bacterial small subunit ribosomal RNA", at positions 524 to 776 of the family's 1533-position model. The record is from RNAcentral.